AGGGACUGAGCAACACCCCCAGGCCUUAUCAUAUAUAAAAAGUCAAAUAUACACGGAGGGGGGCAAGUACCUUAGCUCCAAUCCUAUGGUGGGUAGGAGUAAACCUACCUUCUAAGGUUAGUCUACUCCACCCAAUACAAUAAGAUGUAAAUUAGACUAAGCACCUAAGAGGAUGAUUCCUCUCUUAAUACAUACUACUAAUAAUACAUAAAUGAGGGAGACUCUCCCUUUACAAGAAAGUGAAGAUACGCCCAAACAAACUAAUAUACCUAAAUAAGACAUAUUAGAUCAGAAUAGAGUAUAUCACAAGAAACAACUAGAGCGUUGUUAG
RNAcentral lists this long non-coding RNA (331 nucleotides) under Solanum tuberosum (potato). RNAcentral's name for it is "long non-coding RNA (STUB_LNC006232)". Lineage: Eukaryota; Viridiplantae; Streptophyta; Magnoliopsida; Solanales; Solanaceae. The record is from RNAcentral.